UGUGGCUGGGGGUGAAAGGCCAAUCAAACCGGGAGAUAGCUGGUUCUCCCCGAAAGCUAUUUAGGUAGCGCCUCGUGAAUUCAUCUUCGGGGGUAGAGCACUGUUUCGGCUAGGGGGUCAUCCCGACUUACCAACCCGAUGCAAACUACGAAUACCGAAGAAUGUUAUCACGGGAGACACACGGCGGGUGCUAACGUCCGUCGUGAAGAGGGAAACAACCCAGACCGCCAGCUAAGGUCCCAAAGUCAUGGUUAAGUGGGAAACGAUGUGGGAAGGCCCAGACAGCCAGGAUGUUGGCUUAGAAGCAGCCAUCAUUUAAAGAAAGCGUAAUAGCUCACUGGUCGAGUCGGCCUGCGCGGAAGAUGUAACGGGGCUAAACCAUGCACCGAAGCUGCGGCAGCGACACUAUGUGUUGUUGGGUAGGGGAGCGUUCUGUAAGCCGUUGAAGGUGGCCUGUGAGGGUUGCUGGAGGUAUCAGAAGUGCGAAUGCUGACAUAAGUAACGAUAAUGCGGGUGAAAAACCCGCACGCCGGAAGACCAAGGGUUCCUGUCCAACGUUAAUCGGGGCAGGGUGAGUCGACCCCUAAGGCGAGGCCGAAAGGCGUAGUCGAUGGGAAACAGGUUAAUAUUCCUGUACUUGGUGUUACUGCGAAGGGGGGACGGAGAAGGCUAUGUUGGCCGGGCGACGGUUGUCCCGGUUUAAGCAUGUAGGCGGAUGUUCCAGGUAAAUCCGGAGCGUCACUAACGCUGAGGUGUGAUGACGAGGCACUACGGUGCUGAAGUGACAAAUGCCCUGCUUCCAGGAAAAGCCUCUAAGCAUCAGGUAACAUCAAAUCGUACCCCAAACCGACACAGGUGGUCAGGUAGAGAAUACCAAGGCGCUUGAGAGAACUCGGGUGAAGGAACUAGGCAAAAUGGUGCCGUAACUUCGGGAGAAGGCACGCUGAUGGUAGGUGAAGUGACUUGCUCAUGGAGCUGAAAUCAGUCGAAGAUACCAGCUGGCUGCAACUGUUUAUUAAAAACACAGCACUGUGCAAACACGAAAGUGGACGUAUACGGUGUGACGCCUGCCCGGUGCCGGAAGGUUAAUUGAUGGGGUUAUCCUCGCGGAGAAGCUCUUGAUCGAAGCCCCGGUAAACGGCGGCCGUAACUAUAACGGUCCUAAGGUAGCGAAAUUCCUUGUCGGGU
Molecule: ribosomal RNA, 1188 nt
Filed under: human gut metagenome
Description: bacterial LSU rRNA
Rfam family: Bacterial large subunit ribosomal RNA
Source: RNAcentral